Molecule: non-coding RNA, 162 nt
Organism: Synergistales bacterium 54_24
Lineage: Bacteria; Thermotogati; Synergistota; Synergistia; Synergistales
Source: Rfam
AGUAAGUAUAGAUUUGGACUACAGACAGUGGGUGCCCAAAAGGGGGCUUAAAUAUUUGCCCACCGAGGUCCGCAAGCUCUAACGGCACGCCAAUGUUUUUAGAUUUUGGUGUCUUUGGGCUCUUGGACCUCAUGCGGGUUCAGGGGCCUUUUAAUUUUGUCG